This 466-nucleotide ribosomal RNA is filed under the name uncultured bacterium. RNAcentral describes it as "partial 16S ribosomal RNA". It matches the Rfam family "Bacterial small subunit ribosomal RNA", at positions 28 to 507 of the family's 1533-position model. The record is from RNAcentral.
GACGAACGCUGGCGGCGCGCCUAACACAUGCAAGUCGAACGAGCGAGAGAGAGCUUGCUUUCUCAAGCGAGUGGCGAACGGGUGAGUAACGCGUGAGGAACCUGCCUCAAAGAGGGGGACAACAGUUGGAAACGACUGCUAAUACCGCAUAAGCCCACAGGUCGGCAUCGACCAGAGGGAAAAGGAGCAAUCCGCUUUGAGAUGGCCUCGCGUCCGAUUAGCUAGUUGGUGAGGUAACGGCCCACCAAGGCAACGAUCGGUAGCCGGACUGAGAGGUUGAACGGCCACAAUGGGACUGAGACACGGCCCAGACUCCUACGGGAAGCAGCAGUGGGGAAUAUUGCACAAUGGGGGAAACCCUGAUGCAGCGACGCCGCGUAGAGGAAGAAGGUCUUCGGAUUGUAAACUCCUGUUGUUGAGGAAGAUAAUGACGGUACUCAACAAGGAAGUGACGGCUAACUACGUG